CCAAGGAGUCCGMCACGUGCGCGAGUCACUGGGCUGUACGAACCCCAAAGGCGCAAAGAAAUUGAGUGGCGAGAUCCCCUCCGUAGGUGGUUGGGGCGCAUCGCCGACCCGGUCCUUCGGGGCUGGCGUCUGAGCGCACGUGUCGGGACCCGAAAGAUGGUGAUCUAUACCUGAGCGGGGUGAAGCCACGGGAAACCCUGGUGGAGGCCUAUCCGCGUUGCUGACGUGCAAAUCGCUCGUCCGACUUGGGUAUAGGGGCGAAAGACCAAUCGAACCAUCUAGUAGCUGGUUCCCUCCGAAGUUUCCCUCAGGAUAGCUGGCGCUCGUGAGUCAGUUUCAUCCGGUAGAGCGAAUGAUUAGAGGUCUCGGGGGCGUAAAGUCCUCGUCCUAUUCUCAAACUACCAAUCGGGUGAGAAACCCGCGUCUCGCCCUGUGGCAGAGGGGAGCCGGGUCACGAAUGAGAGUGCUUAGGGGGCCACUUUUG
Molecule: ribosomal RNA, 484 nt
Filed under: Montfortista kirana
Lineage: Eukaryota; Metazoa; Mollusca; Gastropoda; Lepetellida; Fissurellidae
Description: partial large subunit ribosomal RNA
Rfam family: Eukaryotic large subunit ribosomal RNA
Source: RNAcentral